UUCGCCCUUAGAGUUUGAUCCUGGCUCAGAGCGAACGCUGGCGGCAGGCCUAACACAUGCAAGUCGAACGGGCUUCUUCGGAAGUCAGUGGCAGACGGGUGAGUAACACGUGGGAACGUGCCCUUCGGUUCGGAAUAACUCAGGGAAACUUGAGCUAAUACCGGAUACGCCCUUAUGGGGAAAGGUUUACUGCCGAAGGAUCGGCCCGCGUCUGAUUAGCUUGUUGGUGGGGUAACGGCCUACCAAGGCGACGAUCAGUAGCUGGUCUGAGAGGAUGAUCAGCCACACUGGGACUGAGACACGGCCCAGACUCCUACGGGAGGCAGCAGAAGGG
Molecule: ribosomal RNA, 334 nt
Filed under: uncultured Methylobacterium sp.
Lineage: Bacteria; Pseudomonadati; Pseudomonadota; Alphaproteobacteria; Hyphomicrobiales; Methylobacteriaceae
Description: bacterial SSU rRNA
Rfam family: Bacterial small subunit ribosomal RNA
Source: RNAcentral